This 67-nucleotide transfer RNA is filed under the name Luperomorpha hainana. Its description in RNAcentral is "tRNA-Ser". Lineage: Eukaryota; Metazoa; Arthropoda; Insecta; Coleoptera; Chrysomelidae. The record is from RNAcentral.
AGUUUAUUAACUUAAUAAGUAUAUAUUUUGAAAAUAUAAUAAAGAAAUUAAAAAUUUCUAUAAACUU